Pundamilia nyererei is the source of this 2321-nucleotide RNA transcript. It is a transcript of the gene named synaptotagmin XVIIIb, with no coding region annotated. Lineage: Eukaryota; Metazoa; Chordata; Actinopteri; Cichliformes; Cichlidae. The transcript is spliced from 3 exons. The record is from RefSeq and is a predicted model, not a curated record.
CUUGAUAGUCUAAAAUAACGUUGUUUGGCUUUGUUUUGGACUAAAAAUCUAAAUGUGUUUUCAUCAGUCGAGCAAACGAUCUUCUUUACUUGGACAUUUGGGCUUCUGCUUGUGGAUUUCUUAGUAGGCUCUACUGCUGGCACCAUGCCUUAUCAUGAUGAGGAGUACCCCGGUCAGCCUCUGUGGCAGUCUGUGCUGCUUUUCUGCUGCAAGGGCAUGAUCGAGGGCAUCAUGGUCAUUCUGUUCUUCUGGCUUCUGGUUCAGGUCCUGUUCACCAAACAGUUAGAAGUUCAUCUCCAGAUUCUUCUUCUGGUUGGGCUGAUCACCUUUUGUCUGUGUUUGGUCCUGGGAUGCCUUCUGUGCUUGUGGAAAAGUAAAGUUUCUCGAGUGAAAGACAAAGCUCCUGCGACAUCAGCACCAGCUCCUGCUGAACCUGUGUCCUUUGCUCAGACCUCACCUUCUCCCUCAGCAGCAGCAACAGCAUCAGCACCCAAGCAGCAGUUUGAUGAGCUGGAUGAAGAAGUGCUGGAGUACCCGUCCACUUUUAGCAGCGCUGCUACUUCAGAGGGUGAAUUUGGCUCUCUGGCAUUUUCAAAUCAAACUUCCUGUGAACAAAAGGAGCCUCCAAAGUCUUAUUUUUCCCUGCGCCGCCUCAGCACACCUCUGCUUUCAUCACCCCUUUAUAAACCAUUAGACCAGAGUCAUAGCUCGCUGCCUUCCUUUCCCAAACUGGGACUACUGGCCAAAACACGUAAGGCCCUGCAGCGACGCUGCACUGUAACUGGGGAAGACAUAUCUUAUAAUGAGCACACUAGACUCACCAGACCCAGUGCUGGCUCUCCUUCUACAAAAGAAAAACCUAUCCCAUUGGCCCCACUAAGCUAUGGCUCCAGUGCAAGCUGCCAACAUCCAAUAUCACCAAAACCCUGCCUCCACUUCACUAUGGCCUUCUCUCCAGGGCAGCAAACCCUGACAGUCACUGUCCUCAGCCUCAGUGGGAUGCCUCACAGGCUGGAAGAUGUGUCUGUGCAGGGCAGCCUACCACCUCUCUGCCCCUUUCCUAUGAAAGCCGCUGUGCAGAGCAGCUCCAGCUCUGAAGCCCACAGCCUGGUGCUAAUUUUUAAGGUGAGCUCUGUGGAGGAGCUCCAAAGGUGUGUACUGAAGGUAGCUGUGAAUGCACGAGAACCAGCGAGCCCCAGACGCAGUUCUCUGGGUGAACUGGAAGCCGAGUGUGCAGGAAGAGACUGGACACCACAGACGCCACUUCACUUAACAAAAGAACUCAAUCGAAGCAAGUAGAAAAUAAAAAAGGUAGCGAAGGUUAUACACCUGUGAGUGGUUUAAAUGUCCGUACUUGGAGGUAAAAGCAACUUGAAUGAUUGAUUAGGAACCUUUCGGGUACAAAUUUUAGACCUCUGAACUUAAAUCCUGGAACAAUAACAAGAUGGAAGAAAAUGUAAACAAAUUUCCAGAUUUUUUUCUGUAGUUUUAUUUAUUCAUUGCUGUGUAUGACAGAGCUAAAUGUUCAAGUUGCAAUUCCUGCCAAUUAGGAAUGCCCUCUUUGCUCUUUGAACUUUUGCCCUUUGAUUGCAGAGUCUGACCUCUCAGGAUGCACUGAUGUGUAAGGGGCUUAGCUGUCCUCCACAGAUCUUCAUUUUGCUUCAUUAUCAGACUGUCGCACUCUGUUAAAGUCACGGUCCUCAGAGCUGAUAAUCUAGACAGCCUUGUUUCUACAUCAGUGGCAGCAGACUACCAGGUGAUCAAUCUGCACCACGAGGGAGUUUUGAUGAGCAGCAGAGAGACUAAAGCACGGUCCUGUACUGUGUGGAACACUUCUUUCCUGUUUGACCUGCCUCCAGGAGACAUCAGUCAGCUGCCCCUCAUGCUUGAAUUUGUAAUAAACCAGGUCAUUAAUCAUCAUAUACCACGGCAAUAGUUUUAUUUUUCCAUUAUAAUAAAUGCAGCACAAUUCAGCAUCCCCUCUCUUGUCUAAUGUGGUAGAAUGCAGUCCUUUCAGAAGCCAGAGUUGUAGGCCGAGUCUUCGUUGGAGCAGAGGCUACAGAUGCAGGACGUGCUCAUUGGAGAGACAUGUGCAGCCAGCAUGUGGAGCAGGCACGAUGGCACACUAUUCAACCUGAAACCGCAAUAGAAUAAGGCUGUUUGAUGACCAAUGGAGCGGAUUUACUGUUGAGCUCUUUGGGCAACAAAAAUGGUCAGACAUGAAGCGCGUAUGGAUAGAGUCAACCUGUGAUCUAGUUCACCUCAAGGUGCUGUCUACACUCAAGAUGAUACACACCCUCCCAAUCUGCCAGCUUACUUGG